Molecule: ribosomal RNA, 2887 nt
Filed under: Staphylococcus aureus
Lineage: Bacteria; Bacillati; Bacillota; Bacilli; Caryophanales; Staphylococcaceae
Description: bacterial LSU rRNA
Rfam family: Bacterial large subunit ribosomal RNA
Source: RNAcentral
AGAUUAAGUUAUUAAGGGCGCACGGUGGAUGCCUUGGCACUAGAAGCCGAUGAAGGACGUUACUAACGACGAUAUGCUUUGGGGAGCUGUAAGUAAGCUUUGAUCCAGAGAUUUCCGAAUGGGGAAACCCAGCAUGAGUUAUGUCAUGUUAUCGAUAUGUGAAUACAUAGCAUAUCAGAAGGCACACCCGGAGAACUGAAACAUCUUAGUACCCGGAGGAAGAGAAAGAAAAUUCGAUUCCCUUAGUAGCGGCGAGCGAAACGGGAAGAGCCCAAACCAACAAGCUUGCUUGUUGGGGUUGUAGGACACUCUAUACGGAGUUACAAAGGACGACAUUAGACGAAUCAUCUGGAAAGAUGAAUCAAAGAAGGUAAUAAUCCUGUAGUCGAAAAUGUUGUCUCUCUUGAGUGGAUCCUGAGUACGACGGAGCACGUGAAAUUCCGUCGGAAUCUGGGAGGACCAUCUCCUAAGGCUAAAUACUCUCUAGUGACCGAUAGUGAACCAGUACCGUGAGGGAAAGGUGAAAAGCACCCCGGAAGGGGAGUGAAAUAGAACCUGAAACCGUGUGCUUACAAGUAGUCAGAGCCCGUUAAUGGGUGAUGGCGUGCCUUUUGUAGAAUGAACCGGCGAGUUACGAUUUGAUGCAAGGUUAAGCAGUAAAUGUGGAGCCGUAGCGAAAGCGAGUCUGAAUAGGGCGUUUAGUAUUUGGUCGUAGACCCGAAACCAGGUGAUCUACCCUUGGUCAGGUUGAAGUUCAGGUAACACUGAAUGGAGGACCGAACCGACUUACGUUGAAAAGUGAGCGGAUGAACUGAGGGUAGCGGAGAAAUUCCAAUCGAACCUGGAGAUAGCUGGUUCUCUCCGAAAUAGCUUUAGGGCUAGCCUCAAGUGAUGAUUAUUGGAGGUAGAGCACUGUUUGGACGAGGGGCCCCUCUCGGGUUACCGAAUUCAGACAAACUCCGAAUGCCAAUUAAUUUAACUUGGGAGUCAGAACAUGGGUGAUAAGGUCCGUGUUCGAAAGGGAAACAGCCCAGACCACCAGCUAAGGUCCCAAAAUAUAUGUUAAGUGGAAAAGGAUGUGGCGUUGCCCAGACAACUAGGAUGUUGGCUUAGAAGCAGCCAUCAUUUAAAGAGUGCGUAAUAGCUCACUAGUCGAGUGACACUGCGCCGAAAAUGUACCGGGGCUAAACAUAUUACCGAAGCUGUGGAUUGUCCUUUGGACAAUGGUAGGAGAGCGUUCUAAGGGCGUUGAAGCAUGAUCGUAAGGACAUGUGGAGCGCUUAGAAGUGAGAAUGCCGGUGUGAGUAGCGAAAGACGGGUGAGAAUCCCGUCCACCGAUUGACUAAGGUUUCCAGAGGAAGGCUCGUCCGCUCUGGGUUAGUCGGGUCCUAAGCUGAGGCCGACAGGCGUAGGCGAUGGAUAACAGGUUGAUAUUCCUGUACCACCUAUAAUCGUUUUAAUCGAUGGGGGGACGCAGUAGGAUAGGCGAAGCGUGCGAUUGGAUUGCACGUCUAAGCAGUAAGGCUGAGUAUUAGGCAAAUCCGGUACUCGUUAAGGCUGAGCUGUGAUGGGGAGAAGACAUUGUGUCUUCGAGUCGUUGAUUUCACACUGCCGAGAAAAGCCUCUAGAUAGAAAAUAGGUGCCCGUACCGCAAACCGACACAGGUAGUCAAGAUGAGAAUUCUAAGGUGAGCGAGCGAACUCUCGUUAAGGAACUCGGCAAAAUGACCCCGUAACUUCGGGAGAAGGGGUGCUCUUUAGGGUUAACGCCCAGAAGAGCCGCAGUGAAUAGGCCCAAGCGACUGUUUAUCAAAAACACAGGUCUCUGCUAAACCGUAAGGUGAUGUAUAGGGGCUGACGCCUGCCCGGUGCUGGAAGGUUAAGAGGAGUGGUUAGCUUCUGCGAAGCUACGAAUCGAAGCCCCAGUAAACGGCGGCCGUAACUAUAACGGUCCUAAGGUAGCGAAAUUCCUUGUCGGGUAAGUUCCGACCCGCACGAAAGGCGUAACGAUUUGGGCACUGUCUCAACGAGAGACUCGGUGAAAUCAUAGUACCUGUGAAGAUGCAGGUUACCCGCGACAGGACGGAAAGACCCCGUGGAGCUUUACUGUAGCCUGAUAUUGAAAUUCGGCACAGCUUGUACAGGAUAGGUAGGAGCCUUUGAAACGUGAGCGCUAGCUUACGUGGAGGCGCUGGUGGGAUACUACCCUAGCUGUGUUGGCUUUCUAACCCGCACCACUUAUCGUGGUGGGAGACAGUGUCAGGCGGGCAGUUUGACUGGGGCGGUCGCCUCCUAAAAGGUAACGGAGGCGCUCAAAGGUUCCCUCAGAAUGGUUGGAAAUCAUUCAUAGAGUGUAAAGGCAUAAGGGAGCUUGACUGCGAGACCUACAAGUCGAGCAGGGUCGAAAGACGGACUUAGUGAUCCGGUGGUUCCGCAUGGAAGGGCCAUCGCUCAACGGAUAAAAGCUACCCCGGGGAUAACAGGCUUAUCUCCCCCAAGAGUUCACAUCGACGGGGAGGUUUGGCACCUCGAUGUCGGCUCAUCGCAUCCUGGGGCUGUAGUCGGUCCCAAGGGUUGGGCUGUUCGCCCAUUAAAGCGGUACGCGAGCUGGGUUCAGAACGUCGUGAGACAGUUCGGUCCCUAUCCGUCGUGGGCGUAGGAAAUUUGAGAGGAGCUGUCCUUAGUACGAGAGGACCGGGAUGGACAUACCUCUGGUGUACCAGUUGUCGUGCCAACGGCAUAGCUGGGUAGCUAUGUGUGGACGGGAUAAGUGCUGAAAGCAUCUAAGCAUGAAGCCCCCCUCAAGAUGAGAUUUCCCAACUUCGGUUAUAAGAUCCCUCAAAGAUGAUGAGGUUAAUAGGUUCGAGGUGGAAGCAUGGUGACAUGUG